CGGCCCUACGGGGGGCAGCAGUGAGGAAGAUUGGUCAAUGGUUGGGAGACUGAACCAGCCAAGCCGCGUGAGGGAUGAAGGUACAGAGUAUCGUAAACCUCUUUUGUCAGGGAACAAAGGCGGGGACGUGUCCCCGGAUGAGUGUACCUGAAGGAAAAGCAUCGGCUAACUCCGUGCCAGCAGCCGCGGAAAUACGGAGGAUGCGAGCGUUAUCCGGAUUUAUUGGGUUUAAAGGGUGCGCAGGCGGUCUGUUAAGUCAGCGGUCAAAGACCGGGGCUCAACCCCGGCCCGCCGUU
Molecule: ribosomal RNA, 296 nt
Filed under: uncultured bacterium
Lineage: Bacteria
Description: partial 16S ribosomal RNA
Rfam family: Bacterial small subunit ribosomal RNA
Source: RNAcentral